RNAcentral lists this ribosomal RNA (468 nucleotides) under uncultured bacterium. RNAcentral's name for it is "partial 16S ribosomal RNA". It matches the Rfam family "Bacterial small subunit ribosomal RNA", at positions 28 to 507 of the family's 1533-position model. The record is from RNAcentral.
GAUGAACGCUGGCGGCGUGCUUAACACAUGCAAGUCGAACGGAAAGGCCCUGCUUUUGUGGGGUGCUCGAGUGGCGACCGGGUGAGAAACCCGUGAGUAACCUGCCCUUGACCUUGGGACAACUUCACGACACUGGGGCUAAUACCGGAUAGGAGCUCUCCAUGCACGGGGGGGUUUGAAAAGUUUCCGCGGUUGGGGAUGGACUCGCGGCAUCACAGCUUCUUGGUGGGGUAGUGGCCUACCAAGGCUUAGACGGGUAGCCGGCCUGAGAGGGUGACCGACCACCUUAGGACUGUGAUACGGCCCAGACUGCAACGGGAGGCAGAGCUGUCGAAUAUUGCACGAUGGGCGGAAACCUAACGCAGCAAGGCCGCGAGCGGGAUGACGGCCUUCGGGUUGUAAACCUGUUUCGCCUGGGACGAAGCGUGGGUGACGGUAAUGGGUAAAAAAGCACCGGCUAACUACGUG